RNAcentral lists this unclassified non-coding RNA (732 nucleotides) under Drosophila ananassae. Its description in RNAcentral is "GF26717". The record is from RNAcentral. Lineage: Eukaryota; Metazoa; Arthropoda; Insecta; Diptera; Drosophilidae.
UCAGGGAGUUUGAGAUCCGGUCUUCGCCAGGACUCUUGGCUGAAGCUAGUGAAGAGAUCUGAGUGAGAAGUUCCUCCAGUUUAAAGGACACAGGAGCCAAGGGAGGAGAUUGAGGUUCAUUCUGGGGGAGAAUCUUUCUUCGAGGUGUUUGGCAAAUGCAUCAGCUUUUUCCUUCGGGGUUCGGGUCCAUCUGUAGGUUUGAGACUUGGUCAAGUUCCUGUGAGUCUCAUACUGGAGCGGUAUCUUGAGUGGAUGGUCCGCAGGAGGUUGCCUUUUAAUGUGCCUAGUGAUUCUCCAUAUUUUGGCCAUGUUGUAUCUGUCAGCUGGGUCCAGAUCCGUGAGCAUCCUGUCCAUCCUAGCCCGUUUCAGGUGAGGGAUCCGUCAACAUUGCUUGUUGGCAGGCUAGCGCUUUCUCAAGGAGAAGUCUGGCAGUUUUGUCCAGCCUUAUCUUGGAGUGAUGUGGGCGUUUGUUGGUGUUUGUGGAGACGCGGUUUGUGGUGGAGGAGGCAUGGGUGGCUGCCAGCUCUAUGUUUUUCAAAAGUGUUUCUGGAAAGCACGUAUGGAUUGGGAUCCUCUUGGAAGGGGAAGAGGUCUGGCAGAGUUUUGAUCUGGAGAGGGUGGACUCAAGGGGAUCAUGCCCAUAGAAACCGUGAUCAGGAUUGGAACAUGGUCAGAGGUUAAUUCAUUUGCGGAGGUUAUAGAGAUGUGGCUGGCAAGGAAACCUGAGUAGAC